CAUUCUGUAUAUUCAGGAUUGAUUCCUAUGACUCCUAGAAGGAGACUAGUGAGGGAGGCCACCAAGACUCCUAUGACUCCUCUGAAGGAGUUACCAGCUUCAGUAGCUCAGGUGGAGAGACUGUUCAUACUGGCGCUGGAUGAGAUGUCAUUUACAAGGCCGCGCUCUCGCGAGUAAUGUAAUGUAAUCUUGCAAGAAUGGCGGCCCGCCACUCCUUUCACGCCUAAUUGACCGGUGCGCUUGUGCACGUUUCGGCCACUUCCACCCCAGGGGAGCGCUCCAGCGGGGCCGAAGUGUCCGGAACGGUGCAAUAUUUCAUUUCAAUAUUUCAUCAUCGUGUUUAAGAUUACCUAUUACUUUAAAUUUUUCUACUCUACUCUUAUUUUAGUUAAUGUAGUUUACCUUAAUAAUGUAUCAUAGUUAUAUUAUGUUAUUGCUUUUUUACUUUUAUGUCAUGUAAUUUGUUUUUUGUCAGCUAUAUGUGGUACAAGAAUUUCCUUCGGGAUUAUUAAAACUUUAUCUUACCUGAUCUCUAA
This is a long non-coding RNA of Stegastes partitus (bicolor damselfish), 536 nucleotides long. RefSeq lists it as uncharacterized. The record is from RefSeq and is a predicted model, not a curated record. The transcript is spliced from 2 exons. Lineage: Eukaryota; Metazoa; Chordata; Actinopteri; Pomacentridae.